This 254-nucleotide ribosomal RNA is filed under the name uncultured bacterium. RNAcentral's name for it is "partial 16S ribosomal RNA". It matches the Rfam family "Bacterial small subunit ribosomal RNA", at positions 524 to 776 of the family's 1533-position model. The record is from RNAcentral.
UACAGAGGUCCCAAGCGUUGUUCGGAUUCACUGGGCGUAAAGGGCGCGUAGGCGGUCUGAUAAGUCUUGUGUGAAAUCUCUGGGCUCAACCCAGAGUCUGCAUAGGAAACUGUCGGGCUUGAGUAUGGGAGAGGUGCGUGGAAUUUCCGGUGUAGCGGUGAAAUGCGUAGAUAUCGGAAGGAACACCUGUGGCGAAAGCGGCGCACUGGACCAAAACUGACGCUGGAGGCGCGAAAGCUAGGGGAGCAAACAGG